GACGAACGCUGGCGGCGGGCCUAACACAUGCAAGUCGAACGGAAAGGCCCUGCUUUCGCCGGGUUUCCGAGUCGCGCACGUGUGAGUAACAUGUGAGUCUCCCUCCUUUGGCUUUGUGAUGUCCUCAGGCAACCGCGGCUACCGCAUGCUACGAGAUGCUGCAGGUUGGUGAUGGUCGGACCGCUCCGGCUGAUGGGGAUCGACGCGGGGCUAACUAGCUGGUUGGGUGGGUACUUGCCAAGCCAGGCUUCGGUGGGUGGCCUGCCUGAGAGGGUGAACAGCCACAUUGGGACUGAGGUACGGCCCAGACUCCUACGGGAGGCAGCAGUGGGAAAUAUUGCACAAUGGGCGGAAGCCUGAGGCAGAGGCGCCGGGUGCGGGAUGACGGCCUUCGGGGGGGAAACCGCUUUCGCCUGUGACGAAGCGUGAGUGACGGUAAUGAGUAAAGAAGCACCGGCUAACUACGUG
This 468-nucleotide ribosomal RNA is filed under the name uncultured bacterium. RNAcentral describes it as "partial 16S ribosomal RNA". It matches the Rfam family "Bacterial small subunit ribosomal RNA", at positions 28 to 507 of the family's 1533-position model. The record is from RNAcentral.